RNAcentral lists this ribosomal RNA (221 nucleotides) under uncultured bacterium. RNAcentral describes it as "partial 16S ribosomal RNA". It matches the Rfam family "Bacterial small subunit ribosomal RNA", at positions 326 to 539 of the family's 1533-position model. The record is from RNAcentral.
ACGCUCGACACCUACGGAGCAGCAGUAGGGAAUCUUCCACAAUGGGCGCAAGCCUGAUGGAGCAACACCGCGUGAGUGAAGAAGGGUUUCGGCUCGUAAAGCUCUGUUGUUGGAGAAGAACGUGCGUGAGAGUAACUGUUCACGCAGUGACGGUAUCCAACCAGAAAGUCACGGCUAACUACGUGCGAGCAGCCGCGGUAAUCUGAGCGGGCUGGCAAGGC